GCGCAUUUUUGCAGUACCUGCCCCCUUCUGAAGGAGUUAAGAACCUUGUGGAGAUCUCUCCGUGUUCAUGGGUCUCAUUUUUUGACACUGAGGAUCCGAGCCAUGUCUCCACCCCACCCCCGCACCCGGCCCAGCAACACCCUCUUGGCCGCAGCCCUGGUGGCUGAUUCACCAGCCUUGGGGGCCUCUGCACACAGGACUCCGCUGACCGUGAGCUUGGCUGUCCUCAGCCAACUCAGAUUUACUUGUGGCUACUUACAAUGAUGCCCGCCUCUGCCACUGGACCAAGUCCAGGGUUUUAAACCGAAAUACACACUUUAUUCUUUUCAAAACCUCUAGCAAGAUGCUAUUUCGCUGGAUCCAGCAAAAUCUCAUCACUUUCUGAGCACACAGUCCCUGUCACAGAAUUCACCAGAGCAGACAGACAUGCUCCUUGGGCCUCACUGUGCAGAACUUUCCAGCGGUGCUACAAAUAUUUGUGGGUCUGGUUCUCUGCUAGCCGGUAAGUACCUGAAAUGGAGGACCAUGACUUUCUUUCUUAUGUUUUUCUCUUUUUUUGGGUCUUUUUAGAGCCGCACCUGCGGCAUAUGGAGGUUCCCAGGCUAGGGGUCGAAUCGGAGCUGUAGCCACCGGCCUACGCCAGAGCCACAGCAACGCAGGAUCCGAGCCGCGUCUGCAACCUACACCACAGCUCACGGCAACGCCGGAUCAUUAACCCACUGAGCAAGGCCAGGGACCGAACCCG
This 745-nucleotide long non-coding RNA is filed under the name Sus scrofa (pig). RNAcentral's name for it is "lncRNA (ENSSSCG00030061701.1)". The record is from RNAcentral. Lineage: Eukaryota; Metazoa; Chordata; Mammalia; Artiodactyla; Suidae.